This 253-nucleotide ribosomal RNA is filed under the name uncultured bacterium. Its description in RNAcentral is "partial 16S ribosomal RNA". It matches the Rfam family "Bacterial small subunit ribosomal RNA", at positions 524 to 776 of the family's 1533-position model. The record is from RNAcentral.
UACGUAGGGGGCAAGCGUUGUCCGGAUUUAUUGGGCGUAAAGAGCGCGUAGGCGGUUUUACAAGUCCCGUGUGAAAACUCGAGGCUCAACCUCGAGCUGUCGGUGGAAACUGUAAGGCUAGAGUCCGGAAGAGGAGAGUGGAAUUCCUGGUGUAGCGGUGAAAUGCGCAGAUAUCAGGAAGAACACCCGUGGCGAAGGCGGCUAUCUGGGACGGUACUGACGCUGAGACGCGAAAGCGUGGGGAGCGAACAGG